AUACCACCCUUUAAUGUUUGAUGUUCUAACGUGGACCCGUAAUCCGGGUUGCGGACAGUGUCUGGUGGGUAGUUUGACUGGGGCGGUCUCCUCCUAAAGAGUAACGGAGGAGCACGAAGGUUGGCUAAUCCUGGUCGGACAUCAGGAGGUUAGUGCAAUGGCAUAAGCCAGCUUGACUGCGAGCGUGACGGCGCGAGCAGGUGCGAAAGCAGGUCAUAGUGAUCCGGUGGUUCUGAAUGGAAGGGCCAUCGCUCAACGGAUAAAAGGUACUCCGGGGAUAACAGGCUGAUACCGCCCAAGAGUUCAUAUCGACGGCGGUGUUUGGCACCUCGAUGUCGGCUCAUCACAUCCUGGGGCUGAAGUAGGUCCCAAGGGUAUGGCUGUUCGCCAUUUAAAGUGGUACGCGAGCUGGGUUUAGAACGUCGUGAGACAGUUCGGUCCCUAUCUGCCGUGGGCGCUGGAGAACUGAGGGGGGCUGCUCCUAGUACGAGAGGACCGGAGUGGACGCAUCACUGGUGUUCGGGUUGUCAUGCCAAUGGCACUGCCCGGUAGCUAAAUGCGGAAGAGAUAAGUGCUGAAAGCAUCUAAGCACGAAACUUGCCCCGAGAUGAGUUCUCCCUGACCCUUUAA
This 630-nucleotide ribosomal RNA is filed under the name Shigella flexneri. RNAcentral describes it as "partial 23S ribosomal RNA". It matches the Rfam family "Bacterial large subunit ribosomal RNA", at positions 2197 to 2824 of the family's 2925-position model. Lineage: Bacteria; Pseudomonadati; Pseudomonadota; Gammaproteobacteria; Enterobacterales; Enterobacteriaceae. The record is from RNAcentral.